Molecule: ribosomal RNA, 454 nt
Filed under: uncultured bacterium
Lineage: Bacteria
Description: bacterial SSU rRNA
Rfam family: Bacterial small subunit ribosomal RNA
Source: RNAcentral
GUACUUACUCCUACGGGAGGCAGCAGUGGGGAAUUUUGCACAAUGGGGGCAGCCCUGAUGCAGCGACGCCGCGUGAUUUAGAAGGCCUUCGGGUUGUAAAAAUCUUUUGUAUGGGAAGAAAAUGACAGUACCAUACGAAUAAGGACCGGCUAAUUACGUGCCAGCAGCCGCGGUAAUACGUAAGGUCCGAGCGUUGUCCGGGAUCAUUGGGCGUAAAGGGUACGUAGGCGGAUAAGCAGGUUAGAAGUGAAAUCCUAUAGCUCAACUAUAGUAAGCUUUUAAAACUGCUCAUCUUGAGGUGUGGAAGGGAAAGUGGAAUUCCUAGUGUAGCGGUGAAAUGCGCAGAUAUUAGGAGGAAUACCGGUGGCGAAGGCGACUUUCUGGCCAUAAACUGACGCUGAGGUACGAAAGCGUGGGUAGCAAACAGGAUUAGAAACCCGUGUAGUCCAGGCAU